RNAcentral lists this ribosomal RNA (497 nucleotides) under uncultured bacterium. RNAcentral describes it as "partial 16S ribosomal RNA". It matches the Rfam family "Bacterial small subunit ribosomal RNA", at positions 28 to 507 of the family's 1533-position model. The record is from RNAcentral.
GACGAACGCUGGCGGCGUGCCUAAUACAUGCCAGUUGAGCGCUGAAGGUUGGUACUUGUCCCAACUGGAUGAGCAGCGAACGGGUGAGUAACGCGUGGGGAAUCUGCCUUUGAGCGGGGGACAACAUUUGGAAACGAAUGCUAAUACCGCAUAAAAACUUUAAACACAAGUUUUAAGUUUGAAAGAUGCAAUUGCAUCACUCAAAGAUGAUCCCGCGUUGUAUUAGCUAGGUGGUGAGGUAAAGGCUCACCAAGGCGAUGAUACAUAACCGACCUGAGAGGGUGGUCGGGCACAAUGGGACUGAGACACAGCCCAAACUCCUACGGGAGGCAGCAGGAGGGAAACUUCGGCAAUGGAGGGAAGGCUGAACGGGCAACGCCGGGUGAGUGGAGAAGGGUUUCGGAUCGUAAAACUCUGUUGGUAGAGAAGAACGUUGGUGAGAGUGGAAAGCUCAUAAAGUGACGGUAACUACCCAGAAAGGGACGGCUAACUACGUG